UCUAUUCACCUCAUUUCAAAAAUAAGGGUUACCCCCUCUAUUUAUAGAUUUAGGUUAACUUGGACCUCAAGUCAAAGCCUAAAACUAUAAAAGCCCAAAAUAGCUAACACUACUAAAAUAGGCAUAAGUCGAAAUCCUGUGUGAAGCAAUAUGCUUCGACACUUCGACACUUCGACACACUAACAUAACUCAACACACUAGGUGGUUCGACACUUCCUUACUAUGUCGAGCAACCUGCUUCGGCACAAGGAAUUAUAAUUCAACACACCACCUAAUUCAUUCUAUCUAAACUAUCUACAUUCAUCAUAUCUCUUAGUCUUC
This 321-nucleotide long non-coding RNA is filed under the name Lathyrus oleraceus (garden pea). Its description in RNAcentral is "Pisum sativum (pea) long non-coding RNA (PSAT_LNC006144)". The record is from RNAcentral. Lineage: Eukaryota; Viridiplantae; Streptophyta; Magnoliopsida; Fabales; Fabaceae.